UCCAGUCUAACUUGGGAUGCUGUGA
Molecule: non-coding RNA, 25 nt
Filed under: Mus musculus (house mouse)
Lineage: Eukaryota; Metazoa; Chordata; Mammalia; Rodentia; Muridae
Also listed under: 1 other name
Source: RNAcentral